GAUGAACGCUGGCGGCGUGCCUAAUACAUGCAAGUCGAGCGAACAGACGAGGAGCUUACUCCUCUGACGCUAGCGGCGGACGGGUGAGUAACACGUGGAUAACCUACCUAUAAGACUGGGAUAACUUCGGGAAACCGGAGCUAAUACCGGAUAACAUGUUGAACCGCAUGGUUCAACAGUGAAAGACGGUCUUGCUGUCACUUAUAGAUGGAUCCGCGUCGCAUUAGCUAGUUGGUAAGGUAACGGCUUACCAAGGCAACGAUGCGUAGCCGACCUGAGAGGGUGAUCGGCCACACUGGAACUGAGACACGGUCCAGACUCCUACGGGAGGCAGCAGUAGGGAAUCUUCCGCAAUGGGCGAAAGCCUGACGGAGCAACGCCGCGUGAGUGAAGAAGGUCUUCGGAUCGUAAAACUCUGUUAUUAGGGAAGAACAAAUGUGUAAGUAACUAUGCACGUCUUGACGGUACCUAAUCAGAAAGCCACGGCUAACUACGUG
Molecule: ribosomal RNA, 497 nt
Filed under: uncultured bacterium
Lineage: Bacteria
Description: partial 16S ribosomal RNA
Rfam family: Bacterial small subunit ribosomal RNA
Source: RNAcentral